AGAGCGAACGCUGGCGGCAGGCCUAACACAUGCAAGUCGAACGCACCUUCGGAUGAGUGGCGGACGGGUGAGUAACACGUGGGAACGUACCUUUUGGUUCGGAAUAACGCAGAGAAAUUUGCGCUAAUACCGAAUGAGCUCGAAAGAGGAAAGAUUUAUCGCCGAAAGAGCGGCCCGCGUUAGAUUAGCUAGUUGGUGGGGUAAAGGCCCACCAAGGCUACGAUCUAUAGCUGGUCUGAGAGGAUGAUCAGCCACAUUGGGACUGAGACACGGCCCAAACUCCUACGGGAGGCAGCAGUGGGGAAUCUUGCGCAAUGGGCGAAAGCCUGACGCAGCCAUGCCGCGUGAAUGAUGAAGGUCUUAGGAUUGUAAAAUUCUUUCAGUAGGGACGAUAAUGACGGUACCUACAGAAGAAGCCCCGGACUAACUUCGCGCCAGCAGCCGC
Molecule: ribosomal RNA, 445 nt
Filed under: uncultured bacterium
Lineage: Bacteria
Description: SSU rRNA
Rfam family: Bacterial small subunit ribosomal RNA
Source: RNAcentral